Monomorium pharaonis (pharaoh ant) is the source of this 22749-nucleotide long non-coding RNA. RefSeq lists it as uncharacterized. The transcript has 3 exons. The record is from RefSeq and is a predicted model, not a curated record. Lineage: Eukaryota; Metazoa; Arthropoda; Insecta; Hymenoptera; Formicidae.
UGGUAUUAACGCAGAGUGAGAGAGAGAGAGAGAGAGAGAGAAAAAAAGAAGAAAAAUUACAUUCUUCCCGGGCCCAAGUAAUGUUACUUAAUGACUAAACAAAAAAAGAGCAACUGUGAAAGUGAGAUGACGAGAGAGUGAGAGAGAGAAAAGUACUUUUGGGAGAAAUGGCAUGAGAGGGGGAGAGAAAGAGAGAUUGAAUGAUUGAUCGCUAUUUUUAACUCGAGAAAAAUACCACUCCAAGUAUUGUUGCAUGCCUAGUUAUAUAUUGUACUUGCUGCCGAGCUGCAGUCUUUCUGACACCACACGAUGGAUAUUACGAUGCUGUAAACGAAUCCCAGUGAAGGGUCGGCGCGUCGCUACGUCGGUUCGAUGGCAUCAAAUCGGCCGGCUCCGGUCGAUCGUACUUUCGUCCUCUGCACGGCUAGGUUAUUCUAAUUGAGCGAGGCCGUCGGAUCGCUAACCGGAGUCGAUCGAGAUGCGACAAGCGAGACCUGCUCGACGUGCGCGAUCCCGAAUUUCCUAGUCCGUAAGCGAUAUACGCGAAUUAAUUAUUAUCGUACGCAUAUAUCACUAGCAUGAUUAAACGUGGUGUAUACGUAUCCGCGUGCGACGUGCGCCAAUCGACGACGGUACAGAUUACAAGGAGGUCCACGAAUCGAGAAUGAUCGUACGGCAUUAAUAACGAAGUUUCGAAUUUCUUCGAGAAAUUUGAGAGGGAAUUCACAAGAUUGUUAAUAUUAUCGAUAAAUUCAGCUCGAGAAACUUGGUCACGCGUUGGGUGCUCGAGUCUCCCGAUGUGAUUUCAUCAUUCUGGAUCAUGCAAUUCUGGAAAGCAUACAGUUCGAAGAGAAAAUAUGGUAAAUCUGUGAAAAAUCUACUUCAUUUUUCCGAGAAAAGAAAAUCGUUAAAUAAUGGGGUUUGCCUGCCGCGGACCGUUCUUAUAAAGUCAAAUUAAGUCUUGGUUUUGCAAUCCAUGAUCGAAAUGGCGGUCUGGAAAUGACGGUGUAGCGAAGUAUGCAAGCGCGGAAAAUGACGUGAAUUACGCCGUAAUGCGAGUUACGGGUAUGAAGAAAAAAGGGAAGUUGAUGCGUACGUUCGAAGUACAAAGAUGGCGAAUGGUUCUUUAUUAUUACAGCCUGACCGACGAACAAAUUAUCAGACCGGUCGCGUCGUUCUCCCCUGGAAUUUAAGUAGAUCUUAAGACGUUACUCGAUGUUGAAUGGCCAGUUAUCGUUAAUCGUUGAACCGCCCUUGCUGCUUACUUACCUUGGGAAAAGUUUUUAAUGGAUCGUCCGUAUGUUGAAGCGUGAAGGCGAAACGAUGCGACCGGUAUGCCGCGUUUCAUUAGAGAAUAUCUUUUCACGUCUUCUUUCUCCUUGAAGAUUCGCUGCCGAUCUCCCGGACACGCCAUUUAAGUGUUUGUUACUCUGAGUUUUUGAAUAUAUAUAAAAUUCUUCAAAUCUCUUACAAUGAUUAGCUCCUUUGUUUGUUAUGUACUGUAAAACAUACUUAUUUACAGCAAUAUGAUUUAUACAUAUUCCAAUUCGUCCAUGCUUCGUAGUAUUUUCAGAGUGUUGCAUGUUCCGUAAUAAAAUAGUAACACGAUAACGGGUACAGAAUCAAUUUUUAGUCUUAUUUUGACCGCGGAACAAAGGAAACACUUGUGAAUUUCGAUGUAUUUAACUUCUUCUCGACGAAGAAGCGUAAUCGGAAAGUAAACGUAAGGGCGUCGUAACGCAAAUCUCGCGUGGACCACUUGUGCGAUUAACUAAUACAUUCCAUUAAGAGGAGCUUAUCAGAAGGGGCGCGCGGCCCACAAAAUGUACUGUACGUUUCCUUUCCCCAACGAAUCGCCACUAUUUUGCCGGGAAAGGAAGGUGAAGAAAAGAAGGAACAAGAAGCGAGUGGAGUGAGAAUGAUCGGGCUGUAAUCAAUCAGCUGACAGCCGUUGAUUGGGCACAGCACGUGGUACGGUAUGUGUUGUAAUUUAAGAUACGUUUUUCUAGACUUAGCUCUCGCGUGUUUUUAAGGUUUAAUUGUAGCGAACGAAAAUAAGAAAGAAGGGUGUACAUGUAUGGGCGAGAUAAUAAGGUUUUUUUGCUAUGUGGUGUAUAGAUAAGAAGCCUCCAGAAGUAUUCCAGAAUGUCUGUCAUGUAAUCGUGAAUCGUUUAUUCUCUUUUAAUUUUUACCUUCGUGCGAGAGAAGGAGGGAGAAGGGGCGCCGAGGAUCUCCUUAAAACGACGAAGGGGUUAAAUACUGAAAGUAAGGUAGUAGCGCAUUAGAUGAAGUGGACAGGGAGGGAAAAGUGGGAAGACAGGAGAGAGAGAGACGGGAGAGGAGAACUUAUAUGUAUAUUACGUGUAUGGAUAUAUUAAUUAAGUCGAGUGUGUUUAUUCGUCGGCCAUUUUUCCGGUGCCGCCCGCCAUCUUGUUAUUACUAUUGUAAGUCGUAUGACAAGAAACUUAUACGAUUGAAUGUCUAGUCAUGGCCUCUCGAUAACCUUUGCUACUUUGCAUCGCGUGUAAAACAAGUUACACACUCAGCGUAUAUAAUAAUUAACACUAUUAGCCGAUAAGGUAACACGUACACGCACGUAUAUAUAAAUAUACGUACGACACGGAGACACGUGCAUGACACAUACGUACACCCGAGGAAGGACACGUGCGCGGAGCACAGGGAUAAUUACUACUAUUAUCACUAUUAUUACUAUUAUCAUUAUUAUUAUAUUAUUAUUAUUAUUAUUAUUACUCUAUUAUUCUAUUAUUAUUGCUAUUAUUAAAUUAGAAAGGGGAUUUAAUAAGGCUUUUCCUACAAUUUCGUGCUCGUCGUAAUGUCAGUCACAUUAUUAUUAUCAUUGAUUACUAUUGGCAUACGACAAUUAUUAUUCCCGCCAUUGAAUCUGUUGCCAAACGCGCGCGUUCGUCAUUUAUUAUCGAAUCAUUACGAUAUCAUGGCAUUUCCUAUAUUAAUAUUUUUGUGAAAUUAUACGUAUAUUUUUUUCCUCUGUUCGUUACUGUGGUUUAUCAAAUUUGUCGAGUAUUAUUUAUAAUCGCCGACUUUUUUAAAUAUUGUCUUUGCACAAACAUCGCGGCACAAUUCUAGUCGCCAAUUAUUUAAUCUCCGCGGUGUGAUUUUACGAUUGCAAUCGCUAAUUAUUAAUCGAUUAUUAUUUAUUAUUACUAUUACUAUUAUUAUUAUUAUUAUUACUAUUAUUAUUAUUGCUCUAAUAUUAUUUUCGUAUUAUGAUUAUUAUAUUAUUGUCAUUAUUAUCGAUAAAUUAUUGCCCAACCUAACAUUAUGCAUCAUUAUAUUCCAUAUAAAUCCUAUUCAUAUCUCUAUAUUCGCUAAUCGAGCAUAGUACAGACACAUAAUAUAAGCAUGAUACAUUACAUUAUAAAUAUAUAUGACGUAUACAUGCAUAUAUAUUUAAAUUAACUAUUAUUAUUACUUAGAUUGGUAGGAUUUUAUUAAGGAAGUUAACACGAGCAAAACAGGGAAAGAAUAAGAGAGAAAGAGAAACUGAAGCACGGAGCGGGAGAAACGUUGUUUGACAAGUUGAACAAAAAAAGGAAAGAAAAUAAGAAAAUUAAAUAGUUAGACCGCGCCUGUCGCGAUGCGCGUGUCUGGUUGAUGAGAGUAUAUAUGUAUUUUUUUAAAUUUUGAAAUGAACAAAGAACACAAAAAAUUGCGUGUGCGUGAGUGUGAGAGGGAGGCGCGAUGAAUAAAUAAAUCUGGGAACAGUACUACUUGUAGGUUAUUAAUUAACGACUAUUUAGCCGUGCGACGUCACGGUGACACUCGCGUUGAUAACGCGCCGUUGAUAACGACGAGGCGAUGGGAGAACUUAUAAGACGAGAGAUACAAAUGGAUGAAAGACAACAAUGAGACACGGGGAGAUUCAGGGGGAGGGGAGGAAUUAAGCUGAGAUUCGGAGGAGAAGGCUUGGAUGUUUCUCUUUUCGUUUAGACGAUAGUACAUUAGCUCGUUAUCGACGUAACUGUAUGUCCGUGAAUUAUCGAGUAACAUUUCCGCGCAAUCUCGCGACUCUUCUCUCUCGUAGGGACAGCUGCGUACGUUACGCAGCACUUGGACUUUUCUCACUUGCAACAAUCCCGGAUUACGGUAAUCGAUACUCACUCGUAAUGUUCUUCCGGCGAGCAAGAAACGCGGAUCCAGAACGUACGAAUGAACAAACGAGCUUGCGCGAGACAGCGCAUAAUAAAAUACAACAAUAACGGCUGGAAAUUCGCGCAAAAAUCCGCGACACUUGAUACUCUGUGUCUUAAUUCUUGUAUUCUUAGAACCAGAUGCCACGGACAUAUGUAUUCAGCCAUUUCUGUCAAUAUUUUUUUAGAGCGAAUAUGUCUUGUCUAUUAUAAAUUUUUAUGGAUAUUGAAGUAAGAAUUUUUCUUUAGAUAAAAUACUGUAAUUAUAAAAGUAUUUUAAAAAUCAGUAAAUUUCUCAUUGAAUCAGCUUCCGCUCUUGGCUAUUCUGGUAGUACAAUAAUUAAGAAAUGACGUACGGAAAGGAGAAGAAUAUUGAAAAACUUUCUUUAAUCUGCACAUAGACAUACACUGCGAUCGUUGUCGUUUUCUUUCUCAAAACGUUUACUUAUGCGAUAGGGAAGGGGAGAGUUGGUGGAAAUAAUAUACGAAGAAUUUGAGUUACACUUCCAUUAAAAGAAAGGGAAGAUGGAAAACAGGAAAUUACUUUUCUAAUGUGGCGUAACUUUAUCUCGAACAAGAUAUCAUUAGGUAUAUCAUUAAUGUAUUAAGAUUUGUUCUAAAAUUAAUGUCUCUUCGAUCUAUCCACUCUCCUCUCUACACGAACCAAUCGAUAAUGCGAAUUAAGAAAGAUGACGGUUUAGCGGUAGAAAUUUUAUAUCUCCGAGAAGCUUAUUACCUCUUCCACGAUAAAAAGUCUCUUUUUUAUUAAAAUAAUCUUAGCAUCCAAGGAGCACACACAGAAAAAAAAAUGCAAUCUUCAAAUUUUUCCGUCGUGUUAAACAUUAAAAAAUCGAAAAUUUUAAGGAUCGGUAAAAUGUUACGCUCUUUCAAAUGUUGAAAACUGAUGAUUCUGCAUCAACGCUUUUCAGAAUGUCGAUGUCUAUCGCUGGGUGAGCGCAACGAGUCGCGAGAAAACGAAAUUGAGUGAGAAAGAAAGGGAGAGGGAGUUGAGCCGUUCAAUGCGGAAAAGAGGUAUAAACUAUAAGUAUCUUCACAUGUCAAUUACUCUAGGGAACAUCAAAGCCACGGGUGAAACGUAACCUUUGCGAACCAUCAAAGGAACUUUUUAUCCCGCGAAAAUCUUUUUUCUACCAUCCUAACGUAUGUACUUUUUAACGCGUAUCCGGUUAUCGAUCGAUUCGUCCACCGCUUCCGCUUCUUCUUGGCACACCGUUCAAUUUCGAUGCACGCCGAUACGAAAGGAACAAACAAAACACAUGAACAAAAGAAGAGCGGAACCACACUGACCACGCGAAAGGCAUUAUUCGCAGCUUGGAAAUCCGCAAUUCGUUUCACACGAAAUGAAGAAAAAAAAAACAGAAAGUGAGAGAGAGAGAGAGAGAGAGAUAGAGAAACUCGAACAGGUUUCGGACGGGACGCCCGAUUCUUUCUCGGAAAUUAUGGCAACGGGACCGAAGUUUGUUUUAAAGGUACCGUUACGACAUUACACUUUUGCAUGAAAUAAAAGGAAAAGAAAUAGAAAAUAAGGAAGCGCGCGAAGUGUCGCAUUCUCGUUGGCUUGAACGGUGAUCGAUGAUAGCGCUCAGUUGACAAAUACCGACGAUCGUUGAACAAAAAUAUCAAAGUUGGUCUUUGGAAAUUUUAUUUUUGCAAAGCAAACCGAUAACGUAGAUCCGCCGUAUAGAAAUAUAGCGACUGCCGAGAGAAAGGUGACAGUCUAAUAAGAUACGUAUUGUUAUAAUUACCAAUACGAAAGAAUAAACGUUCCCUCCGAGCUGAUUGAUAGACAAAAGUCAAAAAAUGGAAGCUAACCAAGCUAGACAAAGGAGAAGCAAGACGAUCAGUUUUUCACAAACAUACACGAAUUUUUAUACGAACCAACCCUUUCGAGGCACUUUUUUACUACUUAACAUUGACUAAAGGCAUAUCUUUCAUUGAUGCACCUGUAAAGUCAUUCUUCCUUAUUAAAAAAUUGUCAUUAUUUAAUAAAUUAAAGGCAGAAAGGGGCAAAUAAGUUUACAUAUCGAAAAGUUAUCAUCUUGAACUAUUACUUUUCGAGAUAAUACCCUCGCUGUACUUUUCUAUAUAAAAAUCUCUAUCGAAUUCAAUCUCAAUCCCUCGAAAUCUGUUUCCGGACACAAAUUCUCCGAAGUCUCGAAAGGCUGAAAGAUCUUUGUAGCCGUGAUCGCGAAAAGCAGCGAAUAUAUUCCAACUAUAAACUUGUAACGACUCUUUCAACCGAACGGUUGAAUCGAACCGGACUGACGCGCGAGGGAAUUCAUACAACAAGUCUGAUUGUUAUAGGUGUUUUAAAGUUGAACAAACGGUGUUUACAAUCAUUACAAUUACGUUGUUGGAGCACGACACUAUUAUCGACUAAUUCCAUUUGGAUAAUCAUACGUAGAUUCGUUAGAAUUAGGAAUUAGUUAUAUUUUUAACGACGUAGAGACCAGACUGUACAAUGGUUUAAAGAAUUGGAACAACGCGCAAGAAUUUUUUAUAAAAUGCAGAAGAUGCGGUAUCGAUCGUUGACGCAAGAAUGGAUGUUUUUUAUUGUUAUCUAGGUGAAAGCCUCGAGCACACAUGUGAUUCUGUUUUCGAUUGAAGAAGAGCUUUGAUAGAUCAAUCGAUAAAUAAUUUACGAACAAUCUUGUUUUUAAAUAUUACAGUGGUAACACAACGGUAUCGAGAUAUCUUUGUGUAUCCGGAUAUAUUCUCUCGAUUACAAUGCGCAUUCGACAAAAAUAACAGAUUAACAUUUUGAAUGAAUGUGUAAAAUAAAAAAUAAUCUUACAUCGAAUUGUUGGUAAAUUUAGAUCGAGAUUUUGCUUGCUCGUUCUUUUUCUUUUAUGUCCCCUACUGAAAUAAUCUUACGCGCGAUAAACUCACAAGAUUUCUACUUCGAGUGCUCAAGGAAGAAUCGUUUCGUUCGAUUCUGAGAAAAUUCGCGGAAUGUAUCUCUCUAACAAGUAAAUCUUCCAUUUUGUCAGACAAAAAUAAAAGAAGUGAUCCCCAUACGAAUUACUAUACUUAACGAAUUUAACAAUCUGACGACUUGUAAUUAUUUUGAUCUUUGCUUUUUCACUUAACGAGUACGAAGUGUGUGCAAAAUUUCGUCAUGACCAGUCCCUUUAUAGAACUAAUAUUUUGUGAUUCAAAGAGAUGCCAUAAUUGAGCUACUUGAUUUCAGUUUUCUCAUCGCUCGACCAGGCAUGAUCUGGAUCCGGCCUACAAUAUCGAUAUCGAUCUUAAGUUCCGUCUCCACGUGAUAGCACGGCUUUAUUAAUCUCCGGUGUUGGAUAUUUAUUCGAUGUUCAUUGAAUUUAGCCACAUGGGGAUGGAUCUUGAGCAGAUUGAUAGAGGAUGUUUCGUUCGCUCAAACGAACUGAAUCCCUGAGAAUGUAACUUUCCAGGGCCCGAGUUAAAAAAAAAAAACCGAUAGACUUUAAAGGGGUGCGCGCAGCGAAGAAAAAAGGGAAAGGAAUGGAAAAGGAAGGAAGGAAGAGAAAGAUUUUUAGAGUAUUAUUUUGUCAUGGUAGUGUUUAUCAUAUUUAUAGGUAUAUACAUACAUUAGAGAGCCAAUGUAUCGAUUAAUGGUUAACAAUAUACGCGCAUAUUUAACGAACAUAUACGUAUAGCUAUUUUAGAAAAACGCACUAUGACUAAUUAUCGAACUAUAUGAUAUUAACAAUUUAUCGAAUAUGUUAUAUAACAUGUUUGUACGUAAUUUUUAAUUAUUAAUUAACUGCGUUUUGCUCAUGUUGCGGGGGGGGGGGAUUUUCACCGUGUGAAACAUUCGUGUUAUCGCAUUCUUAGAUUUGUAUGGGGCGAAAUGUGGGAAAUCGCACGGUUUCCGGACGCGUUCUGGUAACUUUGCAAGCGUUUAAUUGUGCUACUUUUCAAUGGCUCCUUCUGUCAUUAACUUUUCUCGAAGAUGUUCACAAUUCGGUCUAGCAAAUGCACUUAGGGUCGAUAAUCAGGAAAAUAAAAAUCAUUUUUAAUAUUACAUUCAUUUUAAAACUAAGAGGAAAAAUCCGUUUUUAGGAUAUGUCGACAAAUAUGAAAAGCACAUUUUUUAUAAUAAUUAUAAAUUAUCCAAGUUUCUAGAAUCCGGAAGAGAGCGACGAUGAGUAGCAUAUGAGUGAAGUCUAAAAAUCAAUAUUGUUAACAGCCUAAGAAGAAGAAGAAAGUUAAUCUACCGCGAACGGUUAUCACGUAUGACCGUACUAUUUGUACAAUUAUGAUCAUUAGCACGAUUGCUAUUACACUAUUCAUCGCUGCAUUAUUAUUACGACAGUUACUAUUACGACGCAUAAUAUAUUACUAUAAUAUAUAUAUGUAUAUGUAUGCAAUCGCCGUUAGUUAUCGAUCUUGAUGUCUUUUGACCCCGGUCGAACGCUCGAUCGAACGAUGCACCUCGAUCGUCCGCUCGGUCGCUUGAUUAACAUCCCCUAGAAAUAACUAAUCGGAUCUUAGACACCCUUAUCGACGAAGGCUUUGUAUAAAUAUAACCGUGUAUACGUACGACGUUACAAUCGCAUACCACCGUUGUUUGUACGUUGUGCUAAUUCCCCAUUUUAUCUACGCAAGUAUCUACUCCGCUACCUAUUUAAAAGUAUCGCGGCGCGCUUGCCAGAGUAUUAUAAUGUAUAGUCGCUUUGUGCUAACUAACCCUCCGCGAGCGAGAACAUACGGAAGAGUAAACGAUAAACUGUAACUGAACACCAAUACCGUAACAAUAUCAAUCCCAUUCCCUCUCACCCCUUUUAACCGCGUUAGAAUUACCUUUUCUCCCCUCCCCCGCCCGCCCACCCGCCCGUCCGUUUCUAUACGCCCCAAACUUAUCGAAUUAGUCCUCGUGACUAUAGUGUGGCUUUAAUUGACUUGUAUUACUCAAUCGGGUGACAUUCCGUCGGUUGACUUUCGCAUGAACGUCGAAAGAGAAGGAAACACCGCAUUUUCCGUGAAAUCCUAUGAUAUCGUUUUAUUUUCGAUUCGUGAAAAAAUAUAUUAAUUUUAUAUUUCGCGUUACGCUCGAAUCGAGAGUUUUGAGUAUAGAUGAUUAACUGUUACGAUUAUACGGCCGGUGUAAUUGAAGAAAUAAAAAAUAAUUCGCGUCAUUUUGCUGCAUGUUGAAAGUACUGCGUAUUACUAUUUUGCAUCGUAACGAUAAUCCGUUGUUGCUGUUGCGAAACGAACUAAAUUAUCAUUAAUAACUGAGAAAUCGAAAAUGUAUUACAUAUUUAAAACAAUAACACACAUGAACUGUAUAACUAUAAUUUCCAUAAAAAAAACCAAUAUUGAUCGUGGUUUUUCCUAUCAAUUGUAUAACUCGCAUAAUGUGAUAUUAUCGUAAUUGAAACAGUCUCAAACGAAAAUUUUAUUUGAUUUUAUUGCCGAAUGAAUCUUUUGAUCGCGCAUAUUUAUACAUAUAAAAUAUUUUUGAAAGCAGUAUUACAUUGUACGUACAUGAGAGCUAAUACUUUUGCAAGCUUUAAACAUUGUUGAAAAUAAAGUUGAUUUACUCGUUCGCUCAAUGUUAAAUGCGUUUAAAUCUUUUCCUGAGACAAUGGCUUUUUAUAAAAAUUCAUAGAUAAGAAAUUUUUAUUAGUGGGUUUGUUGUACUUCAUUUUUUUAAACGUUUGUUGAAUUAUUUUUUAUAAAUAAAUGUAUGAUUGUUUUAUUUUACCAGUAUUUUGCCGGUAUUAUGCUAGAUAUACCGCAUCGCUUUAUCGCAGUAAUGUCAAUAGAUCGAUACUAGCAAUCGGCGCAAAGCAUAUUCCGCGUGUUUAUAUUGGGCGUUCGAUAGCGUGCAUAUGUUGUCUUCAAUUUCCGCAAAUCCCCGAAAUCCGUAAUAUUGCAAUUAAUGUGUAACAUGUGACUGUAUGUAAUGUGUAGCCUCUCUAACUAACUAACCCCCUAAUCUAAUGUGCAUCGUGAAUGGUUCAUUCACGAGGCCUGGCGAAAUAAUAUCCGCAAUUUUACACGUAUUUACCUCACGCAAUUACCAAAUUGUGCGUGUACGUGCAAUGUAUCUGCUAGUGCGAAAUAGCUCAGAGAUGCAUUGAACGAGUUUUGCUUUAUUUCCAAAGUACGAAUGUUUGCAAUUAUUGAAAGAAGAGUAACGCUCGCAUGCCAUAUUCAUACUUUGUCAUACUGUCAUACUUACGCGAGAGAGAAAGGGCAGAACUAAAUCUCUCACGAUACAGCGCGCGAGAUAGACCUUUUACUUAGACAGUCAUAAAUUCCGACACGAUUUCGCGAUGAUUUGAAAAUUUUAUCCAAACGGUCCAAGCACAGAGCUCGGCAACGGAAACCGUAGAAGAGAUUCUUCUAGAAUAUCCCUCGAAAUAUUUCUUCCUCGCGCGCGUUGCACGCUGACUUGAUAGGUGUUCACCCCCUGUAGUAUCGCAUUAUUUAUCAACAUCGAAACUUUUGAGAGACUGUUUUUUAAUCCGUCGUAAUGUUCGAACGUUAGACAAACGGCGAUUGCCCAUUUGUUGCGAGUUAUCGCCGACGCUGUUACAAGUUGCUCCGUGCAGUAAUCGACUGUGAAUCGAAGGCAACAUAUUUCGAUAUAUCUUAUCGAUACGCUGAUAGCGGCACUGUUCAGUAGAAGAGUGUAUUAUUGAAACCGCGAUAUGAAGCAACGUGUUGACAGCCGUAGGCUGUCACAAGUAACACGGAAAACGUACUAUUUGUUGCUGAAAUGUUUAUUGUCCUCUAUUAAAUGAUAAUUAUUAUACGUGCGGCGCGUAAAGCCGGCCCUUGUAAAAAUUCGUUGAUCAUGAUCCCUUGACUAGAAUAUUUUUCUGCACACAAAAUAUUUUUUUACCGGGAGAAUGUGAAAGUUAUAGCGGAUUAAAACGCGAUGAGUGCUAAUUAAUCAAGUUACGUGAUCAUCGUUUUACCGAUGUUAUUUCGGACAUUGUUCGACUAAUACAUGUAUAUUUGUUGUUUCUCAUUUUCUAAUCUUGCCACGCACAAUAAGCAUCAUAACGGUAAACCGCACUACUAGACUAUAAUUUUUCUUAUAACGUAUAGAAAAAAGAGAGCAAGAUACUAACGCGACUAAUCGAUAUCAAAAGACGUAAUACCUCGCCAGUAUCCAAAUUGGAACAAAUUACUUUGAUAUUAAUUAAUAUCGCGAUCCUUGAUUUACUAAAAGUUAUCUACGCUAGAAUAUAAUCUAAUAUUGUUUCGUUCUAGUUUGGGGGGUGUAGAAUUAACUCGUGCAAGAUUUCGCGAUUCGUCAAGAAACCUAAUGCAAUUUGCAAUCGGGAUCUAAACGUCACUCGAGAAAAUGCGUUUUCUUCGUCGUGUUUUAGCGCUGAAUGCGGCUUCUAAGCUUCGCCUGCUUUGCUAACGUAAGGAUUCACGUUCAAAAUUAGCAAGACGAAAGCAUUAGACACUGUAAUCGAAUAUGAUGAGAAUUCAUAAAUGUAACCCCACCCUAUACGAUACGGAUCUGAAAAGAGACCUUUUUUUAAGUUAUCGAAAAUCAAGUAAGGGAGUCUUAAGUGAUGAAAUCUCUUGACGAAAUCUUGUUUUCUUAAGCUUAGUUAGUAAAACAUUUAACGGGAAUUAGCAGGUCAAUAACCGAGUAAAUAAGUGAUAAUUAACAGACGUAACCAAUUUGGCGUCAUUGAUAAGUCUAAGUACACUUUUUUAUAUGCAGGAAGAGAAUCGAACGGCCGAAAUACGUUUAGCGUUAAAAGGCGUGCCGAGAACGCGGUCUCUGUUAUCUCGUAAUAACGCGAUCGAACCGACAACUGUUUUCCUCCUCGGCAGACGUUACGAUCGCGCGUAUACCUUCGUAGGAUUUAGGCCAGUCGUGUAGUAAAAACCGCUCGUAGUAAGCCACGUAGUCGGGCGCUCCGCGUCAGGAAGUGACCCAUUUGUAGGGAUCUCUUUAUUAAGUAAGGACUUUAAGGUAGCUAUUCGGUUUUUCUCUUCUUGUCGAUAGGUAUUAUAGGCGGGGUCCACCUCAGGGUCGACCGCAGUCACGCGUGUAGAUUAGCAAUAGUGAGUCGUAGCGUAGCGAUUAUUUCGACGCACCUAUUAUUAUAACCCUUCGCGCACGCGGAUAUGAGAGAGAGAGAGAGAGAGAGAGAGAGAGAGAGAGAGAGAGAGAGAGAGAGAGAGAAAUGGGCCCUCUGGAUUCAAAGCGUGGCGGAAGUAUCGCGGAUACGCAUCGUUCCCCGCAUACACCCCUCUCGUUCAGUCGUGAGUCUCUCGCCAAAGGUGGUCGCCGAAGGGCCAACGGAGAGAAAAGGGUCUCGUAUUUUUGUCUCGUUGAACGUUGGUCUUACCGAUACGCGGGACGCUUCUUGACGCAUCUGCCAAGUAUUUCAGGGAUUCUGGAAACCCGAACACGAAAAUGAGAAAUAACCGUACGAACCGUUUUUAUCCUUUUUUAUUCGACGAAAUACACACGGAUGACGAAAUAUAAAUAUUUUAUUAAAUCUGAGAUACGGAUGUAUGACGGAAGAUCACUGUACAACGAUUCGUACGGGAGAAUAACUGCGGGUAUAUAAAUUGUUAGGGCCAUGAUGGUAACACAGUGAAAAAAAGAAUAAAAUUGACCCUGCGGUAACGGCACGCGUUAAGAAACACCCCGUAGUAUCGUCAUUAAACGUUUGAGAAAAUUUAUUUUUCUACUGCAUACAUCGCGCGUCACCGUGUCGCACAACAGCGAGCAUCUUCGUUUUGCGGAACGGCGUUCACUCGUGAUUCUUACUCGUGGUUUUCGUACCGCGGUUUGAAAGAAGAUCGGAGAUUGUUGAACACUAGAACACCCGGAGGUGGAACAAUCUGUUCACCGACGAUUUCAUUUAAGGUUUAACGGCAUAUCUCGAGGAGAUUGUAAAAAAGGGGGAAUAUAUGUCUCUCUCAGUACGCUAGGUAUAUUUUCUUUGUCGAUGCCACUCGUCUGAGUUCGAAACUCCACGUGCGAAAACGCAUCACUUUCAUCCUCGAUCUUGAGAAAAAGACUUGUUUUUCCUCUUCUUUUCGCAUACGGCGGAUUUUGAGGGAACGCCAUGUGCGAACGCGUUCUAUGCAACGUGUAUAUAGACAUCCAGCGUGUCAAGCCGCGAAGUUGUUGCUCUUUCCUUUAUACAUUAUUCAACGCUCGCGACUCGGUUUCCGAUUUGAUUGCGCGUAGUUUCUGGAAGAGAACGGCGUUCGAUCGUGGAAACGGCCGGACGUUCUGGUGUUAAGCAAACGCAGAUAGGAAUUUUGCUGCGUAGGGGCGCCGAGAGAGGCGAGGGGUGGCUGAGAGGGCAGGAAAUCUAAAAUCCCGCUGACUUGGGAGAAUUGGAAGUUUUGUGAGGAAAGAGGAGAGAGGAAGAGGGGAAGAGCGAUCGGACAUUUCUUUCCGAUAUUUAGAACGAGGACUCGCGACAACGCACACAUAUUUAACGCACAUGAGAACAGAGAAAGAGAGAGAGAGAGAGAGGGCCAAGGAAAAAGAAAAGGAGGAAGAAAAGGAAGAAUUAACGUAAACAGCACACAAAACACAGCGAAAGAGACACGUACACGUAUCGAUUAUGCUAUGCGCGCACAACAUUCAACACGUUAUAACCAUUGUAUAAAGAAAUCGCCGUUAGCGUAACUAUUACCUUUGCAGGGAGAUUGUAUAAGGAACAUUUCGCAUGCACAUUUUCACACGCACCAUUCAUACUCUCCCCGCGGCAUUAGUAUCCCUCUUUUGCGUCUCUGCGCUCUUUGCUAUUAUCGCCAGAUGAAAAUAAUCGACGUGGAGCAGAGUUAUUGACCAAGUCUCGAAGAAACGAUCGUGAGCAGAAAGAAAAAGAGAAAUCGUACGCUUUCUCGAAAAAGAAUAGAUUCACCUCACGAGAGAGAGAGAGAGAGAGAGAGAGAGAGAGAGAGAGAGAGAGAGAGAGAACUUUGUUACGGAAAGACAUUACUUUUUUAAAUAUAAUUUUGCAAAUCCAAAAAUAUUCAUCAGAUAUUCAUACGAAGUGAUAUAUCUGCGAAAGUCAGUACCGGUACAAAGAAAUGUCGCUUCGGGCGGAGCAAGGCGAGAGAGAAAGAGCAGAGAUAAAAGAAAAGGGGAGAAUUCGAGAAAAGCGCCGUGAGCAAGGUCGCCACCUCUUGGGAGUCGCGCUACCACCUUGCACAUCUUCUCAUCCAUCCUGUAAGACUGAACGAUUCUUCAUAUGUAUUCGCGUGACUUCUGAAAGAGGCGUGACGAGCGUACGGGAUUCUCGUUUCUUAAGAAAAAAAGAAAAAAAAAACAAGAGAAAAAGGGAAAGGAGACGAGAGGAAAUUGUGCUUCAUGAUAAUGCGCACGAGGCGAACAGAUGCGUGAGGAAUGCUACGCGCUACGAUUCGAGAGAAAGAACUUGGGUGAUGGAAAACGAUGAGAAUCUAUACAUUUUUGGGAGUGCUUUUCGUCGCGCGAAAAGUUUGACGCACUGGCGAGACAGGGUCGGCCGAGAGUUUUACCUUUGCGAGGAGAGUGAGUUUUUCUCUCGAAGGAACGUACGUUCGAAAGUUACUCGCAGAAAGUAAAACUCCCGAGGAUGUGAACACGAGAAAUGGACGGAAAAGGGUGCGGGACGGAGGAGCCAGGGAUAUUAUCGAGGCGUAAUCGAUAAAAAAUGUGAAGAAAAAAAAAAGAAAAAAAAAGACGUAAUAACGAUUGAUUCUAACUCUAUCUCUAUAUUCUUCUACCAAUUAUAUUUUUCUAAUUAUAUUUGUACGUUGACUCGUAAGCUAAUCGACCAAGCGAUGUUUCGUGCUUGUGGUAGAACGAGGACGGGGAGGAGAAAAAACGCGACAAAAUUUAAAAAAAAAAAGAAAGGAAAAAAGAUGUGGGGAAACGGGAGAGGAAGAUAGAGACACGUUGCCGGGUUUAAAAAAAAAAGGGGAGAGCGGGAUGAAAGCAGCGAGGUUCGCGUUGCACGUUCGUGACAACUACAAUAAACUGCGUCGCUCGUUUUCACGUAGACGAUUCGGUCUAUCUUUUUUAUUCUCGACGAUCGGCCCUUUAGUCUUGACGCUUACUGUGGUUUGCGAGAACAACAUCCGCGAGACUUUGGUGUAAUUUCGGGGGCGAGUUCAAGCCCUGACGUUUCGCGGAAAAGACGAGAGAGUAAUCUCUGUCUUCAUCGCUCGUCGGAAGCGACAAGAGCGAAACGUCUUUUUCUUCCCCUAAUCGCGAUAUUUAAAGAAUUUCGUACUCAUGGGAAUUACAUCGAUUGCAAUUCUCGCGCACAUACCAUUUCUAUUCGCGUGCAGAGCUGAGUUGCUUUGACAACAACGAAGGACAGACCCUCGGCUGCCCUUUUCGCGAAAUAUCUAUCAGCUGUACGAGUGAAUAGCGUAAAAAGAAGAUUACCGUUCGAAUAAAAUGAAGCUAAUUGCGCUUUGUCAAUCGAGAUUCGCUCAGAAAUCUCGAGAGAGGACAGAGUUUCAUCGAAAACUGACAAAGACGUCUUUUUUUUUACCUUUUGUAUCUUUUUGUUCAUUAGCUCGAACAAGCGGAAUAGAAGAGUCCCGUUUGAAACGCGUUGCGUUUAAAAAUUCCCUCUUCGCGGGUCGAACGAGUUGUAACGUAUUCCUUUUCGUUCACUCAGCUCUGUGCGCGGAAAAAAUGCGGAUGUAUUUAAGACUACGUAUGCACAAUACCGUAUCAGAUCGAAUUUGUUAGACCGAUUUCACCCACGCUCCUGGUAUGCCGCGCCUGGCGCUCUUACGGUAGCUUUUCAGUUGAAAAGAGAGAGAGGAAAGUGUGAGGCACGUUUGCUCGAUCUGACUCGGUACGAAUAUCAACUCUACCGAAAUAUUAAUAUCGAAAUAUUAAUCUCCAAAAAGCGCUAUUCGGAAUUUUUCGUGCGGUACGGCGAACAAGUUCUUUCACUAAAGACUAAAGCAAUCUAUUAGAAUUUAUUUUUAUACUGCAAAAGAGUCCUCGUUCGAUGCGAAAUAUAUGUCGUCGCAUUUGUACGAAUGUCAAGUGGAUCAUUAAGCACUAUCAGGUUUUUCCUACGGACUUUCCGCGUCAAAUGUGGCCAGUCCGCGAUCGCGGACGGCGGUGAAUUAAUAUUAACUAUCAAGCUGCUACAAUAAUAACUUUUAAUGAAUUCUUACUAACAAUAUUAUAGCGCGACCACUGCGAUUUCUACCGAGCAGUAUAUUAUGGCGAAUUUACGGCGAUUAACGAUCCCCGUGGCUUUCAUCGACGUGAUCAAGAUGAUGUUUGCUCUUUAUCAAAUCAAAAACUAAACAAGUCUCUCUCUACGUAAUCCACAAAAGUUUGUAUUUUUGUGUAUAAUGGAGCGAGAUGGUGCACAUCGACGCGUUCUCCACAGAGCCAUGGCACUUGUUACGACUAAUUUCGCACGAGAUACACGUACACGAUUUGCGAGGUGAAGGAGAAGGGGAGAGGGAGGGACAGCCAGAAGGGGUGAAAAAAGGGGGGGGGGCGCAGUGGCUCAAGUCGCGUGGAAAAAGAACAAAACGGGGAGAGAGCGACGUCGGGCCCGGGGCGCGGCACUCUCUCUUCGAGCGGGGCGCACCAGACACAAAAAGAAAAAAAAAAAACCAUUAUUAAUCAAUGUGCAAAAUAAUAAACUCGAAGUUCAGUCUCGAACGGCGCGGACAAUUCUUUUAUAUCGCGUUUAUUCGGCGUUGUUAAGUCUUAGCGUUAAUGAUCGGCCAAAGGAAAUGCACACCAACGCGAUACGGCGUACACGCGUGUAUAAACACACACACACACACACACACACACACACACACAAGUACGCGAUAUAUCUCGAACACAGUCAGACACAACAUACGUACACUUUUCAUUUUCUCACCGCUCCCUUCCGGGUGCAGAACAAUGAGAGCCGAAAGACACUAGUUUCUCAUCGGCAAUCAGCCGUUUGCACAUUCCACACGUCAAUCGAGCGACUGAAAGCUGCCGAUGUCCUGCACACGGUAUGCGUACAAUACAAUUUACUCUCGUAUACACAAAAACACGCAACACACAAUUUGUGCGAGAAUCUCGCGAGAAUCCGCGAGUCCGUACGAAUGGUAUAAUUAAUUGCGUACGUAUAUACAUAUAUUAAUCACGAACACGCGUACAUCUACGAGUAUAUCUAUACGUUUGUAAUAUGUAUAUACAUGUAUUAUCAAAAGAGGUGAAGUAGAACGUAAGCUGAUCGCGGCUACUUCGAGAAAUCAAAUUUGCGUGCGCGCGGGCGAUGUUGUGAGGACGUGUGAGGGACCGAGAGAAUGAGAGCGAGAGAGCGGACGGGCGAAGGGGGGAGGAAAAACGAUGGAGAUAAGUAAAUAAUAAUAAUUGACGAUGACUGUAAACGGUUAAACAAGCGCCGCGGGGGGCGCGGGGUGUGCGCGCGUCGUCGGUAUCGUCGAAUGUUUCUUCGUGCAAAGAGGGAAAUUCGAGUGUUCGUCGGAGUGCUCGUGAUGGGCGAGCAUGUAAACGCAGCUCUCUCUCCAACGAUAAUUGCAUAUAAAUGUCGAUCGCAUCCAGUUUGUAAGCAGGCACAAAAAGUCUUCUUACAACUUUUAAUUUUGCACUUCUGGCAAAGUGUUUUUGAAUAAAUUUGAAGAACUUAUUCGAAUGUAUGAAUUCGCGCAAACAUUCUUACAAAAAUUAUAACUUGGCGCAAAGAUGCAUUCUACGCGAUGCAUGGCAUUUCGUGAUUAAUCGUUUAUUAGCACAAGUGCACAACAAGAUCACUUUUUUUCUUACUGGAGAUACGAGACGACAUCGCGUUUACCCCCAUCAUAAUCACUCCGAUAAAGCUUACGACGAUAACGUCGGUGCUCCUUCGGCGAGCUUCCUGUUUGAUAACGUCGCGAAGGAGGAACGACACUGUGAACAGUAUUCGUGACGAUUUGGUGAUUAUACCGGUUUUUGAAAAUCGCGAAGCGCGGCGUUACGUCUUGUUUUGCAUAAUGAAUCGAUGAAAAACGGCUGUAAAUCUGUAUAAAGGGUUUUCCAGUUGAAAUAAUUAUUUUAUUAAACUUGGUCGUUUGUACGUGUGCGGUUUUUGCGGUGCAACGGGGAGAGAGUAUAUAUAUUCGGGGGCGAUAAUAUAUAUGUAUACGUGUACGUGCGCGCUUGGAAUUGGCUCAAUUCUUCCUCAAUCGCGAAGAGACCGCCCUCUCAAAAAUGUAUUUUUGUUACUGAUGAUGUUAGACGUACACCUGAGAGAGGCAAAGAGAGAGAGAGAGAGAGAAAACGUGAAAGCCUAUAAAUAUAUAUUUUUCUCUCAAAGGACAGGAAAAACUUCCUUCUGUGUGUAGUCACUUUCGAUAAAAAAAAGUCGAACAAUUUUGAUGCUAGAAAUAAAUCUUUCAAAUUCAAUUCUGUACCGUGACUAUAGACUUUCAAUACUAAAAGCAGCUGUCGUGGAUUAAAACGCUGCGAAUUUUUACCAAAGAUUACGUAUUGUACCUAUCAGGAGUUUCUCUCUCUCUCAAAAAAAAGAAUAAAAACCAAAACGCAAAAAACAAAGCUUUCAAGUGUACGUCAGACUUUGCUCGUACAUGCGACGGUGACGUUGUUGGUAGAACGGAUUUGUAUUAUGGUACGUGCUCGCUCGGUUUUUGAACGAGAGGAGAGGAAGCAGAUUUUCGAUACCGCGGAUACGGCACGUCGAGAAGGUUGAGAAAGAUUUUUCGUGACGCAACGGAUCGGCGUAACGUCCGCAACCCCUCGUUCGCAAAGCCCCCCCUCGGUCGCCGAUUCACGUUUGUUUGGUUUUUAUUGUCAGAAGUUUCUAUUUUUCCAUAAUACGAUAAGGGACGAUAAUAUUUACUAUUGAUAUAUAUGUAUGUGUGUAUAUGCGUGUAUGAGUGUAAGCGGCAGCGUCCGGUCGAGAUGAUGUAAGAGAGAAAGAGAGAGAAAGAAGGAAAGAAGGAGAGAGCAACCAGAUCGAAGCAAGUUUUUUUUUUAUGACGACACGGUUUGUUAAACAUUAAAAAAAGGCCACACGUAUUUGCGCGCGGAAGGUACUUUAACAGUGCCCAUCAUCGGGGCUCGAAAAUCGUCCGUCGUGUUGAUAAGGGAAUUGUUGCUAUUAAGUACAGAGGCUUAAUCGCAAAUGAUAAGAUUUGUAUGUAUGUGUGUGUGUACGCGCGCACGCGCGCGGGUGUGCGUGUGUGUGUGUGUGUAAGAAAAAAUAAAGGCUUAAGAUCAUACUUCUUGUUCUUAAUUCUUUUUUUCUUUCUUUUUUUUAAAAAUUGAUUUUCGAGCCCCGUAUCUGUUAUUACCUAUGGCGAAAGAUAUGAGAUGUAGCAAUGAAGAUAAAACAAGAAAUGUUGCAAAGUUACCCAAGUUGAAGCGAUAAAGAUAGAGGAACGGCGGAGUGAAGGCGAAUCGGAUACGAGUGAGUGCGAGCGAAAGGGAGAGACAAUUUUUUUCUUGUUAUGAACUAAGUGUGCCUAGUCAAUAGAGAAUAUAUCUCGUCAAUUUUAAUAUUAUAUAUAUUAUAUAUAUUAUAUAUAUAUUACUACGAUUAUAUGAUUUAAACUUGAUACUCUCUGUAAUAUUAACGAUGUGGAAACCUAUUGGACGCGAGGAUAAGAGGAGAAAACGAAAAAAAAAAAGGAGAAAAAAAACGUAAUGAGAUGCGACAAUGAUUGUGCUGUGUUGUACUACGAAAAAUGUUGGCCUGUGACUUAUAUUUGUAGCGAUUAUACGUACGUACCCCCGCAUAAAAAGAAAGAAGAGACAAAAAGGAGAGACGGUAACAACCAGAUACUAAACAAUGAAGUAAUAACGAUACGCGAGUUACACACACACACACAUACGUACAUAUAUAUACGUGUCUAUAUAUGUAGGUUGUGCGACUUUUUUCAGUCGGGAGAGUCGAACUUCUCGAAGAGAAUCGCGAAUAAUUGCAAUUGAUGAAACCGAAAUCUGAUCUCCCGAAAAAUGUUGAAUCUCUAAUUUUAUUCUUUUGAAAAAAGCAAUAAUUAUGUUUUUGCUCGGGAGGAGAUCUCGAAAGAAAGAUGCGAGCUCAGAAUCAGGCGAGUCGCAUCAAGAACGCAGCUUGCUGCAAUAAAGUAAUGAUCGCGAUUUCUGCGAAUUAUUCGGAAUCAAAAUUGUCAAGAAUGUCAAGAAGCUUCGCGAUUCUCAUCCUUCAGUUACGCAGGCAUGAGAGCCAAAGCUCGUAAUAACAGUCGGAUCACGAGAACAGCACUCAUGCGUGCUUCGACUCGUAUUGAGGGUAGAAAACUUGAGAGAGCUACGAGAGAACUUGAAAGGAAUAUAAAAGAAUUUUGAGAAUGACAAACGGUAAAGUGGAUCAACGAUAAAUUCGUUUGGCUCUUUGUUGCUCCCUCUCUCAUUUUUUCUUGCCCAUUUCUUUCUUUCUUUUUCUCACUCUCUCUCCUUCUCUCUCUCUCUCUCUCUCUCUCUCUCUCUCUCUCUUUCUUUUCUCUCUUACAUGUUUAUAUGUGUUGAAAAUGUAAAACACAAUUUUUGAGCGUACGGUAUGAAAAGUAGCGAUACCAAAAAAUAAUAAAAAUCGUGCGUGUAAGAGUGCAAGUACGUAUGUAUGUAUGUAUGUAUGCGAAAAAAAGAUACCGAACGAAAAAUAUUUUUUCUAAUAAAGACUCGUCCCAGUCAUGGCAAACGCAAUCUCCUAUCUUGUUAUGUGCGAAACUGAUUCGCUAUUAAUGAUUAAUUCGUUGUAAAAGCAGAUGUUAAAUUAUGAGUGAGAGAAGUAGAAAAGAAGUAAGUGAGUGAGAGAGAGAAUUUUUCUUAAAAAAUAGUAUAAGAAGAAUAAGAUAGUGAAUAAGAGAGAGAGAGAGAGAGAGAGAGAGAGAGAGAGAGAGAGAGAGAGAGAGAGAGAGAGAGAGAGAGAGAGAGAGAGAGAGAGAUGGAAAAAGCAAGAUAUUAAGGGUCAUAUCAAGAUUGGUUAUGGAAUAAGAGGGCUAUUUAUUUAGGAUAUAACUAAAUGGUCUGUUUUAAUGUGUCACGGGCUACACGUACUGUACUAUAAUAUCUAACAAUAAAGUAUUUUGUUUGCUUCAAGAAAUUUUAUGCUUUAUUUGUCCAUAUCAUUUUACGUUUAAAAAAUUCAAAAUUUUAAAGAGAGUACAAAUAAAUAAAUAAUUGAUGUUAAUCUGCUUUUAACAUACGAAUUUAACAUGUGGAUGUUAAUAGACAAGUACAAGAAGCAAACGGAUAUUGACGUCCGAGCUGACGUUUACUUCUACUACUGUCAAUUUUAACUAUCCGGUAAGUAGAAAAAACAUUGAUUAACCCGACAUGAAAAUAUUUAAAUUAAGAAUAUUUUGCGAAGAAAUUUAAUAAUUACUUUACAGAAUUUAAUUCACAAAAUUUGCAAAACACAAAUUUUAAUUCGCAAAAUAUAAUUAUUACAUUCUGGAAAGUUUUAUUAUUUUUUUAAAUAUAUUCCGAGAGAGAGAGAGAGAGAGAGUUUUAUAUAGAAAGUUUUAAAUGACCUGAAUAAUCAAUUUGCAUUGCUAAUUAAAUAAUAUGUAUGUAAUAUAAUGUUAUAUAUAAAUUGACAGUACAAUAAAAUGUGUUAAAUGCGAUACAUUUGAACUUAUCAAACAUUUGACGAGCUAAUGUGACAAGCGCUAAUUUUAUUUUAAUCAUUUAUAAUUAACAUAUUUAUUUAACAUAUUUAUUUAUAAUUAAUGUACCUACAUCAAUAUCUUCAUAUAGCUGUGUGUAGUAUAAGAUUAUUUCAUCCUAGUACAAUAUAUUAUGCAUAUACUUUUUAAUCGAUUAUCUGUUUUUUUUUUUGUUAACAUUAUCAAUGUAACUUGCAUUAACCAAAGAACAAUAUAAAAAUUUAUUGUGCUGAGAGAAGUAUUAUUUUCUCUGUAGAUAAUUUUAAUUUUAUAAAGCUUUUUAUAGAUAUUUUUACACUUAAUAUGAAAUGAUUAUAUACUUCUUUUAAUGAGGGAACGAAAGAAAAAUAAUAGACGUAGGAAAUGUAGCGUGAAAAGAACAACAAAACUCUCUCGUUUAUAUUGAAGACUGUCCAUGCUGUUCGAAGGAACGAGGGAAACAAAGAAAGUACUGGAUCACGAAACGAGGAGGCAAGAUAUAUAGUCAGGAGCCAUCCGUUGGUGCUUCCAAAGCGUUCUUACCUACGUAUAAGCGGAGUCUCGUAAAAGAUUUCUACGCCGAUGGAUUAGCCGGAUUACUAUCCAGCUGGAACCAUUUCAUCGCUGUGUACAGCCAUGUAGGUACGCGCAUUAUGGAUGGAAAAUGUUCGACCCUUUUUUAUUAUACAGAAAAUAUUCUGGAGCGCAAUUUUUUGAUAAAUUUCUCGUUUUCUCUACAUUCUAUAUAGUUUUAAUAUUAUUACUUUCUUAUUAAAAUGUUCCUUAGAAAGAUUUAAAAAACAACUUAAAAAACACCUAUAAUGAUAAUAUUUAUACUUAAAUAAGAAACAUGUACUUAUUAGAGGUUUUCGAAUUUUUUAAAUAUAAUUUAUUAUUAUUAUUUGUAACAAAUACAUUUUGCGCUAUUAAGUAUUACACUACGUUUCAAUUUAUAAUAUAAUAGACAAUAUUAAUAUGGAAAUAAAUU